This 423-nucleotide ribosomal RNA is filed under the name Tychonema bourrellyi. Its description in RNAcentral is "bacterial SSU rRNA". It matches the Rfam family "Bacterial small subunit ribosomal RNA", at positions 359 to 796 of the family's 1533-position model. The record is from RNAcentral. Lineage: Bacteria; Bacillati; Cyanobacteriota; Cyanophyceae; Oscillatoriales; Microcoleaceae.
GAAUUUUCCGCAAUGGGCGAAAGCCUGACGGAGCAAGACCGCGUGGGGGAAGAAGGCUCUUGGGUUGUAAACUCCUUUUCUCUGGGAAGAACAAAAUGACGGUACCAGAGGAAUCAGCAUCGGCUAACUCCGUGCCAGCAGCCGCGGUAAGACGGAGGAUGCAAGCGUUAUCCGGAAUGAUUGGGCGUAAAGCGUCCGCAGGUGGCAGUUCAAGUCUGCUGUCAAAGACCGGGGCUCAACCUCGGAAAGGCAGUGGAAACUGAACAGCUAGAGUAUGGUAGGGGCAAAGGGAAUUCCUGGUGUAGCGGUGAAAUGCGUAGAGAUCAGGAAGAACAUCGGUGGCGAAGGCGCUUUGCUGGACCAUAACUGACACUCAGGGACGAAAGCUAGGGGAGCGAAUGGGAUUAGAUACCCCAGUAGUCA